This 492-nucleotide ribosomal RNA is filed under the name uncultured bacterium. RNAcentral describes it as "partial 16S ribosomal RNA". It matches the Rfam family "Bacterial small subunit ribosomal RNA", at positions 29 to 507 of the family's 1533-position model. The record is from RNAcentral.
AGUGAACGCUGGCGGUAGGCCUAACACAUGCAAGUCGAACGGCAGCACAGUAAGAGCUUGCUCUUACGGGUGGCGAGUGGCGGACGGGUGAGGAAUACAUCGGAAUCUACUUUUUCGUGGGGGAUAACGUAGGGAAACUUACGCUAAUACCGCAUACGACCUACGGGUGAAAGCAGGGGAUCUUCGGACCUUGCGCGAUUGAAUGAGCCGAUGUCGGAUUAGCUAGUUGGCGGGGUAACGGCCCACCAAGGCGACGAUACGUAGCAGGUCUGAGAGGAUGAUCAGCCACACCGGAACUGAGACACGGUCCAGACUCCUACGGGAGGCAGCAGUGGGGAAUAUUGGACAAUGGGCGCAAGCCUGAUCCAGCCAUACCGCGUGGGUGAAGAAGGCCUUCGGGUUGUAAAGCUCUUUUGUUGGGAAAGAAAAGCAGCAGGUUAAUACGCCGCUGUUCUGACGGUACCCAAAGAAUAAGCACCGGCUAACUUCGUG